Long non-coding RNA from Oreochromis aureus, 1474 nucleotides. NCBI's taxonomy places the organism in Eukaryota, Metazoa, Chordata, Actinopteri, Cichliformes, Cichlidae. The record is from Ensembl.
CAGUGGCGGAGUUUGCGCUCUCCAGUCGCAUGAUAGUCUCACAAAUUCAUACACUGAUGAAUGCAAUGGAGAGCGACUUGAAGUGUAGUAUCUUGCCUAAAAUCACGUAGGCAUGCAGACUGGACACUGGAGCAGCCAGGGAUCCAACCACCAAUCUCCUGGUUGGUAGAUGACCUGCUCUGCCCCCUGAGCUACAGCCAUCCCAAAAUAAAGAAAUAAGUGGUGGCUCAAGACUUUUCCACAGCAUUGUAUUGAACCACAGGGGUCCACAGUGGAGAUGGGCAAAAGAGCCACAGGUUCAAGACCCCUGAGGCAGACAAUCAUUUGCACCACCACACCUUCCCAACAUUUGAACGUAGUGUCCAAUAUUGCCACAGCAUGUGUAUGGCAGCACCAAAGCAGCUCCGAGAUGCCAGUGACUGUGGCAAACCAGCAUAUCUGACAACCUGGGAGAGAGAACAGCUGGCUUUUAGUGGAGAAGACGAGGCUUAAAGAGGCACGGACUAAAAAGGCUUUUUUCAGACAGAUGAUGAACCGAGGGGCUUUUUUGCCAUGAAUAAAAUUACAAAGCUCUUGUGGAGUCCUGGAAUAUAAAUAAAGGGCAGAAUUGAGCAUAAUGAGCCCCCCCUUAAGUUAACAACUGCUGCUAGGUUUUUUUUUUGGUACCUACUGAUUUCCUCUUGCAUUUUAUGUAGAUUGUGUAGAAGUGCCUUGCAAUUCUAGGCAAAAAGCUUUCAGGGAAUCAUUUCUGUGACCCGAAAUGCACAAAAAAUGAACAUAGUCAAAUUUUACAUUAGAAAGUUUAAAGUCUUGCCUGAAAAACUUCACUUUAGUAUUGCAUCACUGCUUUCAUUUGCAAUGACUUUCAGGGGGUAAAGCCAAUCAUCCUGCUGCAGCAGAAAUAAGAGUCAUACUUGACGUGUUUCUGGAGCCUGUUUUAAAUGUACAGUACUUAGAGCUGGGCGAUAGAACGAUAACGAUAUGUAUUGCGAAAUAACUUUUUCUUGAUAGAAAAAUUAAACUAUUGCGAUAGACCUCAUCUCUCUUGUCCUCUUAAAAAAAAAAAAAAGAACAGCCAAUCCAAAUUAAGUAGCGGAGAGCCGAACCAAUCACAGCCGCAGCGUCACAUAACGUGACUUGUUACAUACAGCACAAGCGCCAAGGCGCACAUGUGUAUUUGUUUUUGCAGCCGUGCAGCCCGGGUAAUGAAGGAAAUGAGUUUGCCGACUAGAGAAAAAUCAACCGAGAGCGUGAGCGAAGGUUACCGAAGAAAAAACAGAUGAUGGUUCCAAUGCCGGAGAGCUUGUCGAACAGAAGGGCCACAGAAGUUCCGUAGUGUGAAGGUAUUUCAGCUAUUUCAAGUCUGACAAAAAACAGAGUAGUGCGCACUGUAAAUUGUGCCGAAAGCAAGUCUGGAAAUACAAUAAAGCGGUGCAUGCUCAAUCUCUGACUGAAAGCGCUAAUUCGUCAUUCG